Non-coding RNA from Equus quagga, 525 nucleotides. Lineage: Eukaryota; Metazoa; Chordata; Mammalia; Perissodactyla; Equidae. The record is from the annotation of a RefSeq genome assembly.
CUGAACUGCUGAACCUCCUGUUCCUAUUCUGACCCUGAAAUGGGCACCAGGUUCCUCUGUUGGGUGACCAUCUGUCUCUUGGGAGCAGAACUCACUGAAGGUGGAGUCACUCAGUCUCCCAGACACAAGAUCACAGGAAAAGGACAGGCUGUGGCUUUGUGGUGUGACCCUAUUUCUGGCCACCGUGCCCUUUACUGGUACCAGCAGACCCUGGGACAGGGCCUGGGUCUUCUGAUUAGCUUUGAGGAUGAGGCUGUAGCAGAUGAUUCACAGCUGCCUAAGCAUCGGUUUUCUGCAGAGAGGUCCAAAGGAGGAGACUCUACUCUCCAGAUCAAGCCUGCAGAGCUGGGGGACUCAGCCGUGUAUUUCUGUGCUAGCAGCUUAGCCACAGCACUGCAGAACCCCUUCCUUCCUGUGCACAAAGCAUCAUGGUUCUCCUCUGUCUAUUCAGCUCAUGGAGGCUCUAAACAGAGCCCUUCCCUUAUUCCUCACGAUCAGGGGAAAGAAGUGGGCUUGCAGAGAUAA